Non-coding RNA from Pelobates cultripes (western spadefoot toad), 83 nucleotides. NCBI's taxonomy places the organism in Eukaryota, Metazoa, Chordata, Amphibia, Anura, Pelobatidae. The record is from the annotation of a GenBank genome assembly.
GUCUGUGUGUAUGUGUGUGUGUCUCUGUAUGUAUGUGUCUGUAUCAUACAGACACAUACAUACAGAGACACACAUACAUACAG